AUGAAUUACAUUCUUAAAGACUUCUUUGCCUUCAAGCACCCUACAGCAGCCAGGGCUUGUCCAAAUGGACCUGAUCAUGAAGAGAGAACAAAACAAGGACAAGACAUCAAAUCAGACAAAAGAAUUUGCCAUCUUCGGUCAAAAGAAUACCAAGCAGAGACAAAUAGGCUUAUUCAGGUUUUCACUGUUGGCCUAUACCAUAUGAAGAUUACCUUUGUUUCCGCUUAUCUGGAACAAGCAAACCUGACGAUUUCUCCAAUGUUGUUACCAUGGCAAGGUGUUCUCCCAUAUAUUUCAACCAAGCUGAUAUAUAUCCACACAUAA
This 324-nucleotide ribosomal RNA is filed under the name Triticum aestivum (bread wheat). RNAcentral describes it as "partial small subunit ribosomal RNA". Lineage: Eukaryota; Viridiplantae; Streptophyta; Magnoliopsida; Poales; Poaceae. The record is from RNAcentral.